Molecule: long non-coding RNA, 442 nt
Organism: Folsomia candida
Lineage: Eukaryota; Metazoa; Arthropoda; Collembola; Entomobryomorpha; Isotomidae
Exons: 3
Source: RefSeq, a predicted model, not a curated record
CUACACGUAAGCUAACUACUUAUUUAUCCUAGAUGUAAGUAGUUAGGUUACUUUCCGUAUUUCUAUUCAGGCGCACCAGGAUUGUCGCCUUUCACCAUAAAUGCCUUAAAUACUCGACUACAUUUACAAGUUGUAGCGGCCCCCAUGAUUUUGCAGACAUUUAAUUUUACGAUUCUACGGACUUCGUGACUCGGCCAGAGAAAUAAAAAGAAGGGGAGGAUAUCGAAGGGAUGGAAUUUCCUGGCUGUUGUGCGCGUUAAAAAAUCUUCGAUCAAUAAUCACAGCAUACAAGAUGCGGGUGGUGGAACUGACACCCGGGUAGUAUCCAGCUUUUGGGAAUUUUUAGCCCAAUUUUGUGCUAUGCAAAGCUUUCUCUGCUUUCUCUCCAAACGUCAACGCUCCCAUGAACUCGCAAUUUUCCCCUUAAAUCCUGACCUCAUUG